GGCGGCGACCGGCGCAAGGGUGCGUAACGCGUGAGCAACAUGCCCGUAUCAGGGGGGAUAAGUCCAGGGAAACUUGGUCUAAUACCCCAUAGUAAUUUUGUAAGGCAUCUUAUAAGAUUUAAAGCUUUGGUGGAUACGGAUUGGCUCGCGUGACAUUAGCUGGAUGGUAAGGUAACGGCUUACCAUGGCUAUGAUGUCUAGGGGUUCUGAGAGGAAGGUCCCCCCACACUGGAACUGAGACACGGUCCAGACUCCUACGGGAGGCAGCAGUGAGGAAUAUUGGACAAUGGAUGGAAAUCUGAUCCAGCCAUGCCGCGUGAAGGAAAAGAAGGUCCUAUGGAUUGUAAACUUCUUUUGUAUGGGAGCAAUAAGGCCUACGAGUAGGUUGAUGAGAGUACCAUACGAAUAAGCACCGGCUAACUCCGUGCCAGCAGCGGC
This 438-nucleotide ribosomal RNA is filed under the name uncultured bacterium. RNAcentral's name for it is "bacterial SSU rRNA". It matches the Rfam family "Bacterial small subunit ribosomal RNA", at positions 87 to 518 of the family's 1533-position model. The record is from RNAcentral.